Non-coding RNA from Thamnophis sirtalis, 3352 nucleotides. The record is from RefSeq and is a predicted model, not a curated record. NCBI's taxonomy places the organism in Eukaryota, Metazoa, Chordata, Lepidosauria, Squamata, Natricidae.
AAAUAUUAUUUUAGUUGGAAAUUGGAAAUCUUGAAAGAACUCGAUCAGUUAUGGCUGAAGAACUGGUGAAAUUAACAAAUCAAAAUGAUGACUUAGAAGAAAAAAUUAAGGAGAUCCCCAAGUUACGUGCACAAUUAAGGGAUUUGGAUCAAAGAUACAAUACCAUUCUGCAGAUGUAUGGAGAGAAAGCAGAAGCAGCAGAAGAAUUGAGAUUGGACCUUGAGGAUGUAAAAAAUAUGUACAAGACUCAGAUUGAUGAACUUCUGAAGCAAAGGCAUAGCUAAUUAUUGUUCAGGUUUUGAUCUAAAAAAAUGUUGCAUUAAAUUGUAGAGCUGUUUCUGUAAAUGUAGUUAAUUUGUAAAAAAAAUGUACUAUAAAGUGAUUAUAAUGUUGAGUUGAUGUGAUGGCAGGAAUCAUUGUGCUUUUAUGAUGACCGGCUAUCAGCCAUUAAAUUAUUUGUUAAUAUUUAAAAUCUUUUAUCUCCAGCUUACUCUCUUGUCUAUCAUAGUAUGCAUAUUUACUUGUACAGUAAUAACUUUAAUUGUGAAAACAUAUGAUUGAAACUCUCACAUUGAUGGUGUUGUACUGUGUCCUUAUGCCAGUAAAAGGGAUACUGCUGGCAAUUGGGAUUCUCUUAGCUCUGCAGUGCUUGCAUUGAUUCCAGGUCUGCUCCUGAGAGGUUGGGAAUCUCUGGGGGAAAAUACAAAAAUUGGAAACGAAGAAAGCAAGGAAAAAUUCUAUUGUGCAAAAUAUAUUAAUAUGGCAUUGCUAUUCAAAUAUAUAUAUAUAUAUAUGAAAAUUUGCACUGAUACAAAUUUACUUCUUCAUACUUAUCUAUUCCUAUCUAAAUGGAUAUUUAAAGGAAAUAUUGUGGGUACUUUUAACUAUAUUAAUAGCAAUGACUUGAUUUGCUAUAGGCAAUAAAAAAGGUGGGAUGUCUUUAUACCCUUGGUAUCCUGCUCAUGUAAUUUACUAUACUGCCUCUUUAAAACAACACAGAGCAACUUACAUUUUAAAAGCAACCAGAUACCCUCUACUUGAUACAAUGUGCUAUAUUUUAAAAUGUUUUUCUGUGUUUCAGCAUAAUAUAGAGAAAGAUAACAACAUUUAUUAGUUUAAAGAAUUCUAAAAGGCAAUGCAGGCAUAUGUUUGUAAGAAAGUUCACACUCAAAUAGUUCCUAAUUCAAUGUGUGUCAAUGCUUUAAUAUUUCAAAAGCCAGUAAACCUAUUCCAAAUGUUUCAAGUGACAUGCAAUGGUUUGAAAACUACUCUUUAAGAAAAUAUUUGUCAGAAUAUAAAUGAGUAAUGGUAUUGUACUUGAAAUUGUUUUCUAGUUCUUUAAGUGAAGCAGAAGAAUCAACAAUAUCAGACUCUUAAUAUUCAUACGGUUUUUGGAAUAUUACUGUUGUCACCUUAUUGUGGUUCAUUAUUUUUACAUGGUUAUAAGGAACAUUUUUAGAAAAUUAACUUUAUUCUACUGAGAUAUUUGACUUGAUUCAUCUUUUAAGGUUUUUAAAAAUAUUCCUAAAAAAAUGAAAAAUUAUUUGAUAUAUUUACCAAAAAUUUACCUGUUGACAAACAGAUAAAGACCACUCUCUGAAAAUAUGGAGAAGUAACUUGCCAUACUUCUUAGCUGGUUAACAGAGAAUUAUCUUAUGUUAGUAAGGUUUACUUUCCCUGGGUUAAUAAUUCUCCACAAAGGUUUUACUUAGCUUAAAGUAGAAACUUGGUAACUAACUUACCGUAUAUGAAUCAUACUCGGAAGAAACAUAUAAUAAUAACCUCCUGCAACUGAAUUGUUUCUGAAUAGUUGUAGAAAGUGUUGUAUUAUGGAUUCCUGCUACACUGAGAAAAAUAAUUUUUUAUACUAUAUGCAAAAAGUUGUAGCACAGAUAUUGAGGAUUCCCCAUUUUUUAGUUGCUCUAUUUAAGGUUUUUAAAUUUAGGAAUAAUUUAGUUAAGGAAUUGCCCAUCUAUAUUUUGAAAUAUUUCAUUUUCAGGAAGUAAAUUAAAUUUAUAUUUUAUAGUAUGCAUACAUUUUCCUGAUUCUGAUAUUGAACUGCAGUACACUCUAAUGAGAAAAUCUAUUGACUCAAAAAUAACUUUUGUUAGCAAUUCAGUAAUUCUGAAAUAAAAAUGAGCAAUGGUUGCUGAUGGUUUCCCUUUAUAUGUGACUAAUCCUCAAAAUAGUACAUUAAUACAUACAAAAUAACAUUGGAUCUAAAAUUCAAUUUAUGACUUUUUAUAAAAAAAGAUAUGCAUAUUAUUUAAUUUUAAAUUACUUCUAUAUUUUAUUUGAAUUACAUUAAUUUAGAAUAAAUAUUCUUCACUUUUGAGAAGAAUACAAUCUGUUAUUGGGAAAUCUCUGUUUGCCUUAAGAACAAAAUCCUUAAAAGGUUUUUAACCCAAUCCUUGACAAUAAUUUGUCCUUUUAGAUAAUUAUUAUCACAUGUGGCCUAUUUAUAACCAUUGGUUAAACUUAGAUCUAAAAUACAGGCGCAUUGCAAUGUAAUUUUAGCAGUUCGACAUCCUAUUUCCUUUACAUUUCUUCAAUUUACUAAUUUCACUCAUCAAAUGUCAUGUCUAUGAAAUUUAAUCUACUUUUACAUUUUAAAAUAAUUAAAAAUCAAAAAAUAUGUUUCAGACUGUUUAUCCUUUAUUCUGAAAAUAGUUUGAUCACUUUUAAUGUGUUCUUCCCCUAUAAAUCUGUUCCAGUUUUUGCAUAUCUGUAGAUACGUUUGUUUUGUUAUGUACAAGGACAUGAAUAUAUUCGUUUUAUAUUCUGAAAAAUGGUUAUCUUCAUAAUGUUAACAUAAAAAGUGAGUGCAAGAAGCAAGCGUUCAUAACUGAUUGUGAAUACUGUUACUUUUAUUAUUUUUCUACUAUAGAAAUAAAGUUACACAUUUGAUUGUGAGGGACAGAGAAUAAGAUUUGAGAAACAAAUUACUAAGAAAAAUAUAGCUUAGAAUAUAUAGUAAAACACUUCUGCCAAUAGGUACUUUGGGCAUCUUAGUACUUUGGGGCAAAUAAUCAGGCCAGGUCCUUCUUAAUAUCCAGUGGGAAUAUUAGUUUGGCUUUUAAUAAAACAUAUAUAAUUAAUUGCAGCAGAAUAUUUUAGUUGUUUAAAUCUUCAUUGUGUCUGUAUUAACAUGUUUUAUCUUUUUAAUUUCAAGGAAAAUCUAACAUUUUAUAAAGUAAAUUAGUUUUAAAUAAUAUGUAUACAUUAAUAUGGUACAGUACUAUAAAACACUGUUAACAUUGUGUAAAUAUGUUUAAGUUUUGGUUGGUUGUGUAAAAUAUUUGAAAUGUUUUAUGUUUUCUUAAAUUAAAAAAAAGAUUCUGGUGGCUGUUAA